RNAcentral lists this ribosomal RNA (602 nucleotides) under uncultured bacterium. RNAcentral describes it as "bacterial SSU rRNA". It matches the Rfam family "Bacterial small subunit ribosomal RNA", at positions 96 to 694 of the family's 1533-position model. The record is from RNAcentral.
CGGCGGACGGGUGAGUAAUGCCUAGGAAUCUGCCUGGUAGUGGGGGAUAACGUUCGGAAACGGACGCUAAUACCGCAUACGUCCUACGGGAGAAAGCAGGGGACCUUCGGGCCUUGCGCUAUCAGAUGAGCCUAGGUCGGAUUAGCUAGUUGGUGGGGUAAUGGCUCACCAAGGCGACGAUCCGUAACUGGUCUGAGAGGAUGAUCAGUCACACUGGAACUGAGACACGGUCCAGACUCCUACGGGAGGCAGCAGUGGGGAAUAUUGGACAAUGGGCGAAAGCCUGAUCCAGCCAUGCCGCGUGUGUGAAGAAGGUCUUCGGAUUGUAAAGCACUUUAAGUUGGGAGGAAGGGUUGUAGAUUAAUACUCUGCAAUUUUGACGUUACCGACAGAAUAAGCACCGGCUAACUCUGUGCCAGCAGCCGCGGUAAUACAGAGGGUGCAAGCGUUAAUCGGAAUUACUGGGCGUAAAGCGCGCGUAGGUGGUUUGUUAAGUUGGAUGUGAAAUCCCCGGGCUCAACCUGGGAACUGCAUUCAAAACUGACUGACUAGAGUAUGGUAGAGGGUGGUGGAAUUUCCUGUGUAGCGGUGAAAUGCGUAGA